AUUGAACGCUGGCGGCAGGCCUAACACAUGCAAGUCGAACGGUAACAGGAAUCAGCUUGCUGAUUCGCUGACGAGUGGCGGACGGGUGAGUAAUGUCUGGGAAACUGCCUGAUGGAGGGGGAUAACUACUGGAAACGGUAGCUAAUACCGCAUAACGUCGCAAGACCAAAGAGGGGGACCUUCGGGCCUCUUGCCAUCGGAUGUGCCCAGAUGGGAUUAGCUAGUAGGUGGGGUAAUGGCUCACCCAGGCGACGAUCCCUAGCUGGUCUGAGAGGAUGACCAGCCACACUGGAACUGAGACACGGUCCAGACUCCUACGGGAGGCAGCAGUGGGGAAUAUUGCACAAUGGGCGCAAGCCUGAUGCAGCCAUGCCGCGUGUAUGAAGAAGGCCUUCGGGUUGUAAAGUACUUUCAGCGAGGAGGAAGGUGUUGAGGUUAAUAACCUUAGCAAUUGACGUUACUCGCAGAAGAAGCACCGGCUAACUCUGUGCCAGCAGCCGCCGUAA
This 506-nucleotide ribosomal RNA is filed under the name uncultured bacterium. RNAcentral describes it as "partial 16S ribosomal RNA". It matches the Rfam family "Bacterial small subunit ribosomal RNA", at positions 30 to 523 of the family's 1533-position model. The record is from RNAcentral.